UGCGAGUAUUUCAUCUUUUCUUUCCUCUUCUUUUCUCCCGUCCUUCUUCUUUUUCUCUUCUUUUUUCUUUCUCUUUUUUUUUCUUUUUUUUUUGCGUGUCACUUUUUCCUUUUUCACCCCAUCACCAAUUUUUGAUUGAUUUUUUUUUUUUAGGAAUGGAUGCCAAAGCAGCACGGAUGCUCACCAAGGGCCUCAAGGCCCACAAAAGAAAAGGCAUCGCGGCCUCCGGAUC
This 232-nucleotide long non-coding RNA is filed under the name Elaeis guineensis (African oil palm). RNAcentral's name for it is "long non-coding RNA (EGUI_LNC021611)". Lineage: Eukaryota; Viridiplantae; Streptophyta; Magnoliopsida; Arecales; Arecaceae. The record is from RNAcentral.